RNAcentral lists this long non-coding RNA (3310 nucleotides) under Anas platyrhynchos (mallard). RNAcentral's name for it is "lncRNA (ENSAPLG00020010938.1)". Lineage: Eukaryota; Metazoa; Chordata; Aves; Anseriformes; Anatidae. The record is from RNAcentral.
CUUUCAGCUUGUGACGGACAUACGUUAAAGGCUCUCUCUGCAAAGGUUAAUUAGCAUGUGUUACCUAAGUAAACCUGUUUUGGGCAGUGUUGCCAGUCAAUUGCAAAGAAUCCUUUUUAUCUUAUUCGUUCUCAGCUGUUGGUACUAGGAAGGAGUGACUUCUUGUAACCAAGUGUAGGGUUAAACAGUGCUCUGAUCAUCCCUGACCUAGCUCCGGGAAAUCCAGAGGCGUGAUUUAGUCGGGCUCCUCUCAGCAGGCAUAAUAGCAUUUUGGUGACAUCUGGUGGCAGAUUCCUUGUUUGCCCGUAGUUACUACACUUCCUUAAAUCCGUGCAGCGAUGCAGGCACAGCCACCUACGGCUCGCUGUGGCGAAAGCAGAGGAGCUUCUUCCCUGAACGCAAUGCCUAUUUUAUCCCUUCCCUUUGGGGGUGAUUUAGUUGCCCAACAUUUCCCGUGGCUCCCUUGCCUUGAUCAAAGGGAAGGCUUGAAGGCAAUUCUUUAGCCCUUGAUAAGGAUCUUAAGGUUUGUUUUGAAGUUAGCAGCCCAUCAGCGAUGCCAAGCUGUGAUACUCAGGAAACCUGUUGUUCUAGGGUUAUAGGGGGAAGCAUUAUGGCCAAUAGAAGGAUUCCCUGCAAGAUUUCGGUUGCCUUGUCUUGCAUCUGCUCCCCUGGUUUUAUUUUGUUUUUAUUGUUGUUUUUUAGACUGCCUUCCUCAAGUGCCUGUGAUUCCAAAGGCAGCACAGCUGCAGUUCGAUUUCUCAGUCCUUACUGAACAUGCUAAGAAAACAGAUCCAAUGUGUUGGAAAUUAUAUGUGAGCAGACAAGUUAGACAAGCCCAGUCCACUGCAUUUUGCAGAGCAGAAUAAGAAACUUCCAACCUCCUGUGAUAAAUUUAGGGAGAGAAUGAAAAUACAAAAUUUAUUGGGAUUGUUGCCAACAAUAAUUGUCCUGUGAAUGUCUCUUUAGAGACAUGGAUUUGAACAAAGUGGAGUUUUUGGUGUGGAAAACUCUUAUUUGUGUGGAGAGGUGAUGGGUCAAGCUGCAUUGGCUUCAGUUGUACAAUUGCAGUAAGAAGCAUCCAGAAGUCCACUGUCAUUAGUUAAAGCAGCUGUAGUUGUUUUUCAUGUAGGCAGUUGCUGAGCUUGCCAGGCAGGUUUAUGUCGUUUCAAAAGAGAAAGGAGGCUGGAGUACAGCCUGAAGAUGGAUCCUGCGAUCCUGCACUUUGGUCUGGUUGGCCUCUGCUCCGGGAGAGGCAGGCAUCUGGUGGAAAGAGCAAGGGACAUGUAAUUCGUGCAUAGCCGCCUGCUCUCUGCACUGCAAGAGUGUGCUUGUGAGGGAAUAACAGCGUGGUGUAUGUGCAGCAGUAAAUCACUCACUUUAAAACCAGUAAAAGCCCAAGCUUGUCAUCUAAACGAGGGUUUGGUGCCCUGCCAGUGUUUUCCCACAUGAGACUAGCGAGAGAAAGGAAAUGGUGAUUUUUAAUAACAACCAUGAUUUAACAAAACAAAAGAAAGGCUCAUCUUUUAUCUCAGAGCUUUCUCCCUCUGCUGCGAGCCCAGUGGAUUGUCUGAGAAACUCAAAAAGGAAAAGAAAAAAAAAAAAGCGCAGUUACAUCUUUAAAACUGGGCAGGAGCAGCUUUCAUGUGAGGAAUGAGUGAGUAGAUGGGGCUCCUCAGCUGGGAGAGGUGAUGGCAGAAAUGGGAAGGUGAUAAACCCAUGGGCAGCAGGGAAUAAUAACUCUCCCCUCCUCUGAUGUAAGACCUGAGGAACUGAGAAAACCUCGCAUGCAGCAGAUAGAGAACAAUGAGGAGAUGCUUCUUCCCAUUUAGUUAAGUAUUGGAGAAGAGUGAUCAAUGUGUGUAUUUUUUUCUUUUAAUAUGUCUUCUACGCUUUUCCCACUUGUUUUCUUUACCUCUCGUAUCUGGUCAGAUCGCAGUGUCUCAGCCCUCAGGACAGGCAGUUUUGGUCUUCGGGAGUGUUGUGACUUGUUUGAGGAGUUGCUGUAGAUGCUGUACACCCGUUCAGCUACAGAAAAAGGGGGAGGGAGGUGCUUCUGGGGUAAAAAUAAUAAUAGAUCAUUGGCCUAUUUAUGACAGCCAUCUUUUGCACGUUGGCAUUUCCAACUCCUUCCUCUUUCUCAAGUUACUCCUCAAAGAUAAUAGGAUGUGACCAUGUCUGCCUAUCCUGUUGUACAGAAAGCUUUAAUCUCCUGUGGAGAAGUGUGUCCUGUGGCUAAGUGCAGAUCCCAUCAGGUUGUGAAUCUGCUCUUUGUAUCGCAACCGAGGCACCACGAAUUCCUUCUGUGAAAUGCUGGUUGUAAUUAAGGAAUGGUGAACAUAUGGAUAUUGGUGGAAUUUGAUUCAGUUUGCAAUGGAAGUCUAUAAAAAAAAAUAAAUCACAAGCUUCAUUUAAGCAGCCUGGCUAACUGCAAGAGCCAUUAAAAUAGCCGUAGAAGUAAUUUCAAAAUAACAGGCCAAAUGUUUGAUCUUUCAUCUUAGCAAAUUGCUGAACGGGUAUGGAAAAACAUCUUCUUACAAACUGUCUUGACAGCUAUCACAGCCCGUUGGUACCUAGAAAGCUAUUUCAGCUACCCUUCGUUGUCCAGCUCUGAUCUGGCUAAUGUGGGUGAGUGGUGUGUUUAAAUUUCUGCUGCCCCUUGCAGUUCUUGUCCUAGAGCAAACCAUUUAUGGUGCUCUGAGUGCCUGCAGUGGAGGAAACAUUUUAGUUCAAGUCAUGUGGCUGCUUUGGAAGCAAAUCUCAUGACUGCAGCCACGCACACAAUCACUGUGUUUUCAUUCAUGUUACAGAGCACUCCUGGAGCAUGUGUUCGGAUCCCUUUUGGAUGAAACCAGUGUAGAGACAUGCUCCAGCACUGCCCCUAAGCUGUGCUGCUCACUGCGAGGCAUUCAGUUCACAGGACCAGCCUGGAGCUAGCUGGCAGCAAGCCCCCCAAAUAUACGUGUAAUUUGUGUGCUGGCGGCACCUCAGCAACAGCUGUUUCAUGCUCCUGUUGCACAGCACUGUUUGCGAAUAUAAACACAGCUUAUCGUGUUGAAAAUGGUAUUACAACCUUCUUAGGGCUAAAUUAAAUUAGUUUUCAUCGUAUUUCAUUUUUAAAAUGUGCGUGUGUGUGCGUAUGUACGUUUAAUACAUCUUUCUUUCACUUUCUAGCAUUUCCCUCCCCAGAAUUAGAUUUCAAAUGCAGUAAUUGUCAGUUCUUCUCUAACAGCAAUAAGCAUAAGACAUCAUGUCAGUUCUUGUUCAUCUAUUCCCUUUUCUCAGUUCAUUAGUAUUAUUUAUUGCAUGGCCA